This 75-nucleotide transfer RNA is filed under the name Oscillospiraceae bacterium. RNAcentral describes it as "tRNA-Met". It matches the Rfam family "tRNA". Rfam says of the family: Transfer RNA (tRNA) molecules are approximately 80 nucleotides in length. Their secondary structure includes four short double-helical elements and three loops (D, anti-codon, and T loops). The record is from RNAcentral. Lineage: Bacteria; Bacillati; Bacillota; Clostridia; Eubacteriales; Oscillospiraceae.
GGCGGCAUAGCUCAGUGGCAGAGCGUCCGGUUCAUGCCCGGAAUGUCAAUGGUUCAAGUCCAUUUGCCGCUACCA